AGUUUCAAAUCACGUGUAUAAGGGAAGAGCAAAUCGCUGCUUAGAUUAAAGUCACGUGGUCCUCGAUCAUCUUUCGACAAAAAACAAUUCAGAACAAAUAUAAAAACCAAAGAUAAUCAAUUUAAUUAAUUAAACCGUCAUGUUUAAUCCCAGUUUAAUAGGUUGGAGUUAGGCUUAAGCAAGGACUUAUACGGUUCCUUGAAAUAUGGAAACCUAACCUCACUCUUUGUCCUGUUGAGUUUAUCGUAGCAAAACAAGCAACCACAAUGAUAGUUCCCGAUGAAGUUGUCGUGGAGGCUCUGCUCAAAGACGCCCGCAGAUUCAAGAGCAAAUGGGAAUUGCAUACAAACGAGUCGACCAGAAAUAAGCCUAACGUGAAAUUUCUAAAACGCACGUUAUCUCAUGUUGUUAAGACAAAUCAGGACCGCAUGCGAAGACCUAGAGAACCAGAAAGUGUUGAGCGGGAAUUACACCCUUCCACAAGUAAACGAAGGAACGAAAAAUCUCAAGUAAAUGAACCUUCAACGAGUUCUAAGAGAUCCCCACCUCCUCGCAAACGCCCAAAAAAAUCGAAAAGUUGUUCAAAAUCCAAAUACAGGUCCCCUGAACGGAAGAGUAGAUCUAUAGAUAAGUCUAAAAAAAAAUCGACAAGGAGUUCGUCCAGGUCAAGACGCUCACCUAAGCGAUGAUUUGUUUAUUAUUGUUAUGUUCUGGCUUGAGAAUUCGUGUUAAUAAAUUUUUAUUGAA
Molecule: RNA transcript, 747 nt
Organism: Tribolium castaneum (red flour beetle)
Lineage: Eukaryota; Metazoa; Arthropoda; Insecta; Coleoptera; Tenebrionidae
Exons: 2
Source: RefSeq, a predicted model, not a curated record